UGGGGAAUCAUGGUCAAUGGGCGAAAGCCUGAACCUGCGACGCCGCGUGAGUGAUGAAGGUCGUAAGAUCGUAAAACUCUUUUCAGGGAUUUUAAAGGCAGCGCUCUAACAUAGCGUCUGCUGUGACUAUCCCUGGAAUAAGCCCCAGCCAACUACGUGCCAGCAGCUGCGGUAAUACGUAGGGGGCGAGCGUUAUUCGGAAUUACUGGGUGUAAAGGGUAUGUAGGCGGUUCCUCAAGUCGUGUGUAAAAGUCCAGGGCUCAGCGCUGGGUUAGCGCACGAGACUGAUGAACUAGAGGGCUGGAGAGGUGAGCGGAAUUCCCGGUGUAGUGGUAAAAUACGUAGAUAUCGGGAGGAACACCAGCGGCGUAGGCGGCUCACUAGACAGUUUCUGACGCUAAGAUACGAAAGCGUGGGGAGCAAACA
Molecule: ribosomal RNA, 426 nt
Filed under: uncultured prokaryote
Description: bacterial SSU rRNA
Rfam family: Bacterial small subunit ribosomal RNA
Source: RNAcentral